UUUGCAGUCCCUCUGCUAGCUCAAUUCCUAGUCAAACUUUGACUCUAAUAAAUACCCCAUCCAAAUUCAUCGAUACAAAUCAUCAUCGUCAUCAAUUUAUCAUCAAUCAUCAUCUCUGUUAAUGGUUUAAGUUCUUUUACAUAGCCAAACUCUAGAGUAAAAGAAGAUUACGAACCCAAUUGGAAGUGUUUGAACUUUAAGCAAAAUAGCCAGCCAUGUAAUUUAAGGUAAAUGGUUUAAGUUUUGUACUUUUCGAUUUGAAUCUUACUUUGUUGCCUUAUAAAUCAAGAACAAUAAAAGAUUACAAACACAAUUGGAUGUCAAGCUUGAUUUACUUAUCUUGUUAGUAUAAAUUAAUUUCAUAAAAGGAAGUCGGACUUGAUUUAUUUAUUUAUCUUUUCAAUUUAUUCAUGAUUUGAAUGUUAAUUCAUAGACAAAACUCAAACCAACAACAUGCAUCAACUUCGAUAAAACCAAAAAGGUCCAGGAGGAUUAAUCUUGAAAGAUUAUAAGCUGUAAACACUUGAUGCUUUUCUGUUAGUUGAGGUCGUUUUAUAGUAAGCGGAUUUGCUUUUGUUGGACCAGACCUUGCUAAGCUCAUGCAUUUAGACAUUUAUCACUUGCUCUAUUACUUUGUUUGUCAUAUAUGUAUCUAGUCUAAAGCUUGGUCAACAUGUAGUAUGGGAAUUUGCUUUCGUUUGAUAAGACCUUAAAUUAUAAAGAUGGUGAAGAUCUUAGACUUUAGACUACUUAUUUGAAUUGUAAACUUAUGUUAGUUGAUUUUUUAGUUCGAUUUAUUUUUUAUUUUAUUUAAACUUUAAACUUUAAACAAAAACAUAUUCAUUUAAAAAAAAUUGUCUGACUUCAUUUCAUAAAGCUAUCCGGGUUUAAAAUCCACAAUUCAAGAACCCAGAUCUUUCUGGGUUUAACCCAGCCUACACCUAGAGUUAAAAAUCUGGGUUUGCAUCCAAAUCUGGUAUCAUAAAUUGCCAUUUCGUUCUAAAAGCGAAAAGGCAAAACCUAGAUUCGAACUUAGAUUUUUCCAUCCUUAGAUGAUGAGUCACCUUUAAAUUGUAAGCAUUAAAAUGAUGAAGACGUUGUAUCAUCUUUUGUCACUUAGCUUUAGAUGUGUGUUUGAGCUUUUGUGUAUUUUAUGUAUGGUAAGAAGUUGUUAAACUCACUAGCUUGACAAGGCCAAUGCCGCCAUUCUUAGUGCUAACCAUAACAAGCUUUUAAUAGGUACUUAUAGGUACAACUUGAUUUGAUUGCUUAAACUAAUAUUGCUACUGAAAUGAAAUAUUGAGAUUACUUCUUUUGCUUUGUAUGUUUUAAAGAAUGAUGUCCAGGUUAUUCAGCCUUUAGUUUAUUUGUUUGUUAGUGAUAUUUUAGUACAAAAUAUACUGAUGAUUGAGUUUUCUCAUUAAGAAAAUAUGUGGGAAGCAUUGGCUUAGUUGUUAUAUUCUGACUUUAAGUUGGUAAGCUAAGCUUUGCUUAGGAUUACAUAAUAUUUGAUAUCUAUGUAUAUGCAUUUGUUUUCUCUUAUUUGAAUAAAGUUUCAAAUGAGCAAAUUUCCUUCAUUUUCUUAAAUAGAGUUUAGUACAACCAUAUCUUGUCAACAUGCUACAUAUGUGUAUAAAAGCAUAAUACAGUUAGGCAUAAUACCAUUUGGCAUAAUAUACUUCUAGAUUGAAUUCAACAAUGGUAAAUCUAGAAGGAUAACAUUAGGUACAUUACAACAUUGAAUAUGAAAAACACGACAUCUAAGAUCAUAAAUAUCUUCAUAAUAGUAUAACCCUUAAGUGGUUGUAGCAACUUCUUCAACAUAUCUUUUAGCUCCUCCACAUCAUUUGAAGUGCAUUUAGCAGCUUCUAAUCCACAAAUGUUGCCAUACCCCUUUAAAAAAUAGAUCCAUUGUUAAAGUUAGUCCUCUUUAUCAUCCAUUAUCUAAAAUAUCCACACCUUUCUUCUUGGCACAAUGAUAAUACAACUUGUGUGGAUUGUCAUUAGAUUCAGAAACCUUCAGAUAAGCUCUCAUUAGACAUUUGUACAUUAUGUUUGAGUACCUAAUGAUCUUCCCAUUGACACAAUUCCUCCAAAUUUGAUAGUAAAAUGUGUUUGAUUUGCCUGAAGUGUUUGAGCUUUGAUAUUCCAUGUAUGCUUAGGUGCUUAUUAUUGUGUUCAGGAAAUUAAUGGUUGAUGAUUCUUUGUAAAAAUAGAGUUGGAUGAUGAAUGAGAAUGGCGAGAUGAUUUUGUAGUGAAUGAGUUUUGUUUUAAGUUUCAGGUUGUGAUGCAAAUUUCAGGCAAACUACUUGUGAAUGAUAAUAUUAAGGUGAUGAAUAAAUAGCCAAAAUCAUUACCAAUGUACCCGUUUCGAUUCAAUGGUAAUAUUGGGAAUGUUCUUCAAUAUUUUAAAAGCCUUUUUUUUUGUUGAAUUUUGAUUUUUGGAUCAACAAAGGCAAAUUGAUAUCUGUUAAGGAUAGUAUGUCAUUUCAUAUUGUUUAUACACUUUGGCACCGAUUUUUACAAGAAGCUAUUGCCCAGCGGAUCUUUCUUAGCUUUGAUUUUAAUGGUACAAGGGCAUUUUGGGUUUUUACUCAAUCAUCAAAUCAACCUUUAAAUAGUAUACUAAUGGCAAGGGAGGAAAGUGGAGAUGUGCUAAUACUUUCUAUCAAAGUGGAGAUGCAUCAAACCUUAAGCGAGGAAACUAUAAAUUACCCAUUGGGUCAGCCCUUCUAGCCAUUGUUGACUAAGGCUUGGCCUUCAUUUGUCUGAUAUUUUUUAAAAUCUUUAGGAAACAU
RNAcentral lists this long non-coding RNA (2798 nucleotides) under Citrus maxima (pomelo). RNAcentral describes it as "long non-coding RNA (CMAX_LNC004075)". The record is from RNAcentral. Lineage: Eukaryota; Viridiplantae; Streptophyta; Magnoliopsida; Sapindales; Rutaceae.